GGAUGUAAGGGUGAUCUAGUUUUGACAUCUCUCACCCCAUUGAUCUUAAGGGUUGAUUCAGCUGAUCUGGCUGGGUAGCUGGGUGUCUCCUUCCUCCCUCACCACUCCAUGUGCACCCCUCCCAAAGCUGCAUGUUCUGUGUAAUAGGAUGACCUUCCCAGAUAGGGGAGGAUAUUCCUUGGUCAAGGGUAUAGGAGUAGCUGUGGAAUUUAAGAAAAAAGGCUGAAAAGUAUAGGGUACAAAAGGGAAAAAUGAAACAAGAUGAAACCAUAGAGGAAAACAAACCACAAGAGACUCUUAAUCU
RNAcentral lists this small nuclear RNA (304 nucleotides) under Neogale vison (American mink). Its description in RNAcentral is "Neovison vison (American mink) 7SK RNA (ENSNVIG00000014567.1)". The stretch from base 1 to 240 matches the Rfam family "7SK RNA". Rfam says of the family: 7SK was discovered as an abundant small nuclear RNA in the mid-70s but a possible function has only recently been suggested. Two independent studies have found that 7SK RNA binds the CDK9/cyclin T complex (known as elongation factor P-TEFb). Lineage: Eukaryota; Metazoa; Chordata; Mammalia; Carnivora; Mustelidae. The record is from RNAcentral.